Long non-coding RNA from Panthera uncia (snow leopard), 1870 nucleotides. RefSeq lists it as uncharacterized. Lineage: Eukaryota; Metazoa; Chordata; Mammalia; Carnivora; Felidae. The record is from RefSeq and is a predicted model, not a curated record. The transcript is spliced from 3 exons.
GGCACUAGACUCAACAAGGGCCUCAGCAAGGGCAGCUUCCUACCAAGCUUACUCUGAGCACCCCCAGAUGCCUAUUUGGAAACACCUUUGACCAACUCCUCAGUUUGCCCCUGAGACUGUUUGGGGACAAAGGAAAAAUGAUAGGAAAUGGGACAACUGGUGAAGCCCUGAAGUGUUUUUUCACACCUAACGCCUGUUAGUUGUAAACUUGUAUAAAGUAUGCGUCAACCAAAAGAAGAAGACUGAAAUUGACUAUGAUUCUAUCAUUUGGAGCUUACCGCUGUUAACGUAUUGGUUGUUUUCAGGUGAGGGUAGAGAAUAGUGGUUGAGAGCCUGGCAGCCUGGGUCGGAAUCCCGUCUGCCAUUUACUGACUGUGUGAACCAGGACAAGCUACUUAACCACUCACGAUUCAGUCUUCUCUUCUGUGAAAUGGUACAGGUAAUAAUAAUGCUACAACACAGAGUUGUGAAGAUUAGAUGUAUUAAUAUAUGUAAAACAUUUAGAACAGCUUUGGGCACAUAGUACUCUGUAUUUUGAAGCAAAAGAAAACCUGAUAUAACCAGCUUAAACAACCAAGAAAGUGUGUCGGAUGACAAAAUUGCAAAGUUAUAUAAUUGCAACCUUCAGAGGUAGGGCAGGCUGUUGAUCAGAGCCUUCAUAGUUUCUCUACAACUGUCCUAUUCAGAUGUCUAGGCCUCACAUCCCCCAGUUCAGAAGAACAGAGCCUGCUUUCCUACCUCCAGUCAUUAAACAAAAGGCAUAGGCUUCCCAACUGAAUGAAUUUAGGUCACAUGCCUGCCUCUAAACCAUUCACAGUAGCCAAGAGAAUCCCUUGCAGUGACCGGUUUCGGGGUGAAUUCCUUUCACAUUUUUGCACUUAGGGGGAUGGGAUCAUGCUGCUUGAGUAGGUGGGAGUAGAAUCAACCGUCUAUGAAUCCCAUGGCUGCGACACAAUGAGUGAGGCUGGCAAAAUGCCUUCAACAAUAGAUGAAUUUAUUUAUCGUAAAUAAUUUGUAGUGAAUUUAUUAAUAUUAAAAAAUAAACCAGUACAACAUUUCUAAAAACACCCUUUUAAGAAUACAAAAAAAAAAAAAAAUUCCAGAAAGAAAACCAAAAAGAUUUAAUUCUGAUGCUCUGAUAACCAUUCACGAUGCUUUUAAAAAAAGUACACGGCAAAAGAAUGCAAACGUGUUAUUCAGAAAUGUGUAAAAUACCACAUAGAACAUAUUGGAACAAUUGUCAAAACUUGAACACAGACUAUAUAAUAAAUGAUAGCAUCAAAGUUCAGUUGUCCUGGGGUCCCUGGCUGGCUUAGCCAGGAUAGCAUGUGACUCUUGAUCUCUAGGCCAUGAGUUUGAGCCCCACAUUGGGUGUAGAGAUUACUAAAAAAAAAAAAAAAAAAAAAAAAAAUUCAUUUGUCCUGAAUUUGAUGACUGUGAUGUGGUCAUAUAAGAGAAUGUCAUUAGAAGAUACGCACUGAAGGGGGAUGUGGGUGUCUCAGAAGGUUAAGCAACUGACUCUUGAUCUCGGCUCAGAUCAUGAUCUCAUGGUUUGUGAGACUGAGUCCCAAGUCGGGUCUGUGCUGAUGGUGUGGAGCCUGCUUGGGAUUCUCUCCCCUUCUCUCUCUGCCCCUCCCCCUCUUGUGCUCUCAAAAUAAAUAAACUUAAAAAAAGAGAAGAUACACACUGAAGUAUUUGGAGUAUUUGGACAUGAUUUCUGAAAGUUACUCUCAAAUAGUUUGGAAAGUUAAUGUAAAAGCCAUACAUGUAUUAUACACACAUGCACGUGUGUGUACAUAGAGAAAUAGCAAAGGUGGCAAAAUGUUAAAAUUUGGCAAAUCUGCAUAAAGAUUUGUAAUUCUUCUGUAUU